CAAACAAAACAAAAACCCAACCACCAGAAAACCCACCACCACUGGGAAGCCUCCGGCACUGUCUGCUCAGCUUCUGGGCAGUGAAUCUACCACCAUUCUCUGGCACCUGGGCUCCUGGGGCCUACACACUGACAGGUCUCGCUGUUGGGCCCUCUGGCUGACGGCUGGGUGUGGAGUGAGGAGGAGGGAGAUCCUGUCUCUCUGGGCUCCCUUACUUGGCCACCUUCCCCAGGACUCCUGAAUGCAGGAUGAGGACACCCGUGCACCUGCUGCGGCUGGGACUGCUGGGAGCGGGAAUCAGACCCAGGAGAUGCUGAGCGUCCAGCCUUCUGCAGCAGAAUCCGAGCCUGGCCGUGGGCUCUUGGAGUGACACCUCUUCCUUGAAGCCUCCCCUGAGCCCCUCUGACCGUUAUGGAAUUUUCCUUUCCCUCCCUCCCCCCACAACACUCUGUGUCCCUUCCACAGUGUCUGCGGCUCUGCAUUUGAUCACAGUCUCUGCAGACGGAGCUCAUCUCCCUGGGACACCCCAUUAGAAGCUCCCUACAGGCAGGCGUCCUUGUUUGCAGGACACGGAGAGGUUUGCUAAGAAGCCCUCCCUGUGCGGGCUCAGAAAACCUGACUUCCAAAGCUGGUGAGGCCAGGGUUCUGCGAAAUGCGGACCACAGGGCUACCUGCACGCGGCGGCCACCAAGAGCGUCAAGUGAAUCUGAACCGCACAGGCAGCUGGACCUCUCCACCAGGCGGUGUGGGACCGCGGCUGAGCAGGCGCGCACUGAGCAUGCGCCUCUCUUCUGGCUCCCACCGACACCUUGCUCCCGCCGUGACAAGUCUGCUGCAUCAUCUGAACCAAGUUGCCAAAAAUACAUCCACUUCUGGGCCAGAGCCAGGCUCCCCACAGCCCCCAGGUCUCAGGGCCGGGGCGGGAGGACCGCAAGGGAGGGCCCCUCCAACCUCUGAGCAAAGGGGUGUCUCUCCCACCAGACGCGCGGCAAGCAGGCGACCAUGGCCACCUGUGCAGGUUGCUCAUCAGAUGGGCCUCUGUGGAGAGGAGGCUGCCUCUCUUGUCAAAUGGGGUGCUCCCUGAGGGCACCCCACCUCUUCUCCUCUCCUUCAGUAAAACAGAGAGGCUGCUACCCAGUGCAGCGUGGCUCUCCUGUUUGAAGCUGGUCACUGCUAGGGCUAUGAUCCUGGGGAGGGGUCUGAGGGGGAGGGGAGGCGUAUCCUGGCUGUCUGCUCUCCCUGGGACCAGGGUCUUCCCUGGAGGUCCCCAUGUUGCUGGGCCUGGAAGUCUUAGAUAGAGAUGCCUUUGGGAACCUGACUGCUUUAAGAGACAUCCAUCCAUCCUGGUGACCAUGGGCACACUGUUCUCUCAGCCCCUCCUAGGAUCAGGAGAGAGAUGGGCCCCGGGAGACAGAAUAAGCCGAGAAACCCCACACCAGCCAGUCCACAUGUCCUCACUGGUCCCAGUUUGAACUGAUUAGGAAAGUCAUUUAUGCCAAGAGAGUCUCCAGUCACUCAUCCCCAUAGGCCAUAGGUGUGGGUGAGAAUGCAGUGGGAAGGACUCGAGUUGGAUAAAAAGGAGAACUUUCCAAAGGCAGAUAAUUAUUUAGAUAAUUUAGGCAAAAAAAAAAAAGGAGAUUUUCUUCAAUUAUCUUUUCUACCCCCAUUUUUUUUUUUGCACUGAAUAAUUCAUUCUUGCAUUCAUUCAUUUGUGCAAUAAGCACUGAAUUAUCUAGGUAAUUGCUCCCAUUUUCCACUCCAUCCUGCUGGGCUGUCUGUUAGCCAGCAGAGCCUGGGGUG
This is a non-coding RNA of Ictidomys tridecemlineatus (thirteen-lined ground squirrel), 1800 nucleotides long. The record is from RefSeq and is a predicted model, not a curated record. Lineage: Eukaryota; Metazoa; Chordata; Mammalia; Rodentia; Sciuridae.